Molecule: ribosomal RNA, 396 nt
Filed under: uncultured bacterium
Lineage: Bacteria
Description: partial 16S ribosomal RNA
Rfam family: Bacterial small subunit ribosomal RNA
Source: RNAcentral
AUACGUAGGUGACAAGCGUUAUCCGGAUUUACUGGGCGUAAAGGGCGUGUAGGCGGUCUUGCAAGUCAGAAGUGAAAUUCCUGAGCUCAACUCGGGCGCUGCUUCUGAAACUGCAGGACUUGAGUGCUGGAGGGGAUAGCGGAAUUCCUAGUGGAGCGGUAAAAUGCGCAGAUAUUAGGAAGAACACCGGUGGCGAAGGCGGCUAUCUGGACAGUAACUGACGCUGAGGCGCGAAAGCGUGGGGAGCAAACAGGAUUAGAUACCCUGGUAGUCCACGCUGUAAACGAUGAAUACUAGGUGUAGGGGGUAUCGACUCCCUCUGUGCCGCAGUUAACACAAUAAGUAUUCCGCCUGGGGAGUACGGCCGCAAGGUUGAAACUCAAAUGAAUUGACGGG